This 224-nucleotide ribosomal RNA is filed under the name uncultured bacterium. Its description in RNAcentral is "partial 16S ribosomal RNA". It matches the Rfam family "Bacterial small subunit ribosomal RNA", at positions 524 to 748 of the family's 1533-position model. The record is from RNAcentral.
UACGAAGGGGGCAAGCGUUGUUCGGAAUACUGGGCGUAAAGGGCGCGCAGGCGGCUUGUUAAGUCAGAUGUGAAAGCCCCGGGCUCAACCUGGGAAUAGCAUUUGGGACUGAUGGGCUAGAGAUCGGGAGAGGAGAGUGGAAUUCCCAGUGUAGAGGUGAAAUUCGUAGAUAUUGGGAAGAACACCGGUGGCGAAGGCGGCUCUCUGGACCGAUACUGACGCUG